CUACCAUGCAGUCGACGGUGAAGCCAAGCUUGCUUGGUGGAUCAGUGGCGAACGGGUGAGUAACACGUGAGCAACCUGCCCUGGACUCUGGGAUAAGCGCUGGAAACGGCGUCUAAUACUGGAUAUGAGCCCCUAUCGCAUGGUGGGGGUUGGAAAGAUUUUUUGGUCUGGGAUGGGCUCGCGGCCUAUCAGCUUGUUGGUGAGGUAAUGGCUCACCAAGGCGUCGACGGGUAGCCGGCCUGAGAGGGUGACCGGCCACACUGGGACUGAGACACGGCCCAGACUCCUACGGGAGGCAGCAGUGGGGAAUAUUGCACAAUGGGCGAAAGCCUGAUGCAGCAACGCCGCGUGAGGGAUGACGGCCUUCGGGUUGUAAACCUCUUUUAGCAGGGAAGAAGCGAAAGUGACGGUACCUGCAGAAAAAGCGCCGGCUAACUACGUGCCAGCAGCCGCGGUAAUACGUAGGGCGCAAGCGUUAUCCGGAAUUAUUGGGCGUAAAGAGCUCGUAGGCGGUUUGUCGCGUCUGCUGUGAAAUCCCGAGGCUCAACCUCGGGCCUGCAGUGGGUACGGGCAGACUAGAGUGCGGUAGGGGAGAUUGGAAUUCCUGGUGUAGCGGUGGAAUGCGCAGAUAUCAGGAGGAACACCGAUGGCGAAGGCAGAUCUCUGGGCCGUAACUGACGCUGAGGAGCGAAAGGGUGGGGGAGCAAACAGGCUUAGAUACCCUGGUAGUCCACCCCGUAAACGUUGGGAACUAGUUGUGGGGACCAUUCCACGGUUUCCGUGACGCAGCUAACGCAUUAAGUUCCCCGCCUGGGGAGUACGGCCGCAAGGCUAAAACUCAAAGGAAUUGACGGGGACCCGCACAAGCGGCGGAGCAUGCGGAUUAAUUUCGAUGCAACGCGAAGAACCCUUACCAAGGCUUGACAUAUACGAGAACGGGCCAGAAAUGGUCAACUCUUUGGACACUCGUAAACAGGUGGUGCAUGGUUGUCGUCAGCUCGUGUCGUGAGAUGUUGGGUUAAGUCCCGCAACGAGCGCAACCCUCGUUCUAUGUUGCCAGCACGUAAUGGUGGGAACUCAUGGGAUACUGCCGGGGUCAACUCGGAGGAAGGUGGGGAUGACGUCAAAUCAUCAUGCCCCUUAUGUCUUGGGCUUCACGCAUGCUACAAUGGCCGGUACAAAGGGCUGCAAUACCGUGAGGUGGAGCGAAUCCCAAAAAGCCGGUCCCAGUUCGGAUUGAGGUCUGCAACUCGACCUCAUGAAGUCGGAGUCGCUAGUAAUCGCAGAUCAGCAACGCUGCGGUGAAUACGUUCCCGGGUCUUGUACACACCGCCCGUCAAGUCAUGAAAGUCGGUAACACCUGAAGCCGGUGGCCCAACCCUUGUGGAGGAGCCGUCGAA
This 1400-nucleotide ribosomal RNA is filed under the name Microbacterium testaceum. Its description in RNAcentral is "bacterial SSU rRNA". It matches the Rfam family "Bacterial small subunit ribosomal RNA". Lineage: Bacteria; Bacillati; Actinomycetota; Actinomycetes; Micrococcales; Microbacteriaceae. The record is from RNAcentral.